RNAcentral lists this ribosomal RNA (253 nucleotides) under uncultured bacterium. Its description in RNAcentral is "partial 16S ribosomal RNA". It matches the Rfam family "Bacterial small subunit ribosomal RNA", at positions 524 to 776 of the family's 1533-position model. The record is from RNAcentral.
UACGAAGGGUGCGAGCGUUAUUCGGAAUUAUUGGGCGUAAAGGGUGUGUAGGCGGCAUUUUAAGUCUGUUGUUUAAUUCUCUGGCCUAACUAGAGACAUGCAGCGGAUACUGGAUUGCUAGAGGGUGGAAGAGAGAAGUGGAAUUCUCGGAGUAGCGGUAAAAUGCGUAGAUCUCGAGAGGAACACCAAUGGCGAAGGCAGCUUCUUGGUCCAUUUCUGACGCUGAGACACGAAAGCGUGGGGAGCAAACAGG